AUUGAACGCUGGCGGAAUGCUUUACACAUGCAAGUCGAACGGCAGCACGGACUUCGGUCUGGCGGCGAGUGGCGAACGGGUGAGUAAUGUAUCGGAACGUGCUCAGUCGUGGGGGAUAACGUAGUGAAAAUUACGCUAAUACCGCAUACGAUCUAUGGAUGAAAGCGGGGGAUCGCAAGACCUCGCGCGAUUGGAGCGGCCGAUAUCAGAUUAGGUAGUUGGUGGGGUAAAGGCCCACCAAGCCAACGAUCUGUAGCUGGUCUGAGAGGACGACCAGCCACAGUGGAACUGAGACACGGUCCAGACUCCUACGGGAGGCAGCAGUGGGGAAUUUUGGACAAUGGGCGAAAGCCUGAUCCAGCCAUUCCGCGUGCAGGAUGAAGGCCCUCGGGUUGUAAGCUGCUUUUGUACAGAACGAAAAGGUUUCUACUAAUACUAGGAGCUCAUGACGGUACUGUAAGAAUAAGCACCGGCUAACUACGUGCCAGCCGCCGCCGUAA
Molecule: ribosomal RNA, 500 nt
Filed under: uncultured bacterium
Lineage: Bacteria
Description: partial 16S ribosomal RNA
Rfam family: Bacterial small subunit ribosomal RNA
Source: RNAcentral